CACUUGUGAAGUUCAAUGACGGUAGUUGGUUAAGUAUCAUCGUUCGUUAACUUUAGGUUGAACUCCUAAUUUGUGGAGUCCUAAGUUUGCCAGAAAGUAACCUAUAUGGUUCUUAUCGUUAGGUUUGUGGAAUACUGUUCUCUUAUUUUCAAUUAAUCAAGUAGUUCGGAUGAGGUCUAAAACAUCUCUUAAGGGUCAUUC
Molecule: long non-coding RNA, 201 nt
Filed under: Carica papaya (papaya)
Lineage: Eukaryota; Viridiplantae; Streptophyta; Magnoliopsida; Brassicales; Caricaceae
Description: long non-coding RNA (CPAP_LNC005794)
Source: RNAcentral